This 253-nucleotide ribosomal RNA is filed under the name uncultured bacterium. RNAcentral describes it as "partial 16S ribosomal RNA". It matches the Rfam family "Bacterial small subunit ribosomal RNA", at positions 524 to 776 of the family's 1533-position model. The record is from RNAcentral.
UACGAAGGGGGCUAGCGUUGUUCGGAAUCACUGGGCGUAAAGGGCGUGUAGGCGGUCAGGUAAGUGGGAUGUGAAAUCCCUCGGCUCACCCGAGGACCUGCAUCCCAAACUGCUUGGCUUGAGUAUGGGAGAGGAUGAGGGAAUUCCUGGUGUAGCGGUGAAAUGCGUAGAUAUCAGGAGGAACACCGGUGGCGAAAGCGCUCAUCUGGCCCAAUACUGACGCUGAGGCGCGAAAGCUAGGGGAGCAAACGGG